GAUGAACGCUGGCGGCGUGCCUAAUACAUGCAAGUCGAGCGAACAGACGAGGAGCUUGCUCCUCUGACGUUAGCGGCGGACGGGUGAGUAACACGUGGAUAACCUACCUAUAAGACUGGGAUAACUUCGGGAAACCGGAGCUAAUACCGGAUAAUAUAUUGAACCGCAUGGUUCAAUAGUGAAAGACGGUUUUGCUGUCACUUAUAGAUGGAUCCGCGCCGCAUUAGCUAGUUGGUAAGGUAACGGCUUACCAAGGCAACGAUGCGUAGCCGACCUGAGAGGGUGAUCGGCCACACUGGAACUGAGACACGGUCCAGACUCCUACGGGAGGCAGCAGUAGGGAAUCUUCCGCAAUGGGCGAAAGCCUGACGGGGCAACGCCGCGUGAGUGAUGAAGGUCUUCGGAUCGUAAAACUCUGUUACUAGGGAAGAACAAAUGUGUAAGUAACUAUGCACGUCUUGACGGUACCUAAUCAGAAAGCCACGGCUAACUACGU
Molecule: ribosomal RNA, 496 nt
Filed under: uncultured bacterium
Lineage: Bacteria
Description: partial 16S ribosomal RNA
Rfam family: Bacterial small subunit ribosomal RNA
Source: RNAcentral